This 18-nucleotide small nuclear RNA is filed under the name Arabidopsis thaliana (thale cress). Its description in RNAcentral is "snRNA_02628". The record is from RNAcentral. Lineage: Eukaryota; Viridiplantae; Streptophyta; Magnoliopsida; Brassicales; Brassicaceae.
ACGCAGGUGUCCUAAGAU